CCUACGGGAGGCAGCAGUGGGGAAUAUUGCACAAUGGGGGAAACCCUGAUGCAGCGACGCCGCGUGAAGGAAGAAGUACUUCGGUAUGUAAACUUCUAUCAGCAGGGAAGAAAAUGACGGUACCUGACUAAGAAGCCCCGGCCAACUACGUGCCAGCAGCCGCGGUAAUACGUAGGGGGCAAGCGUUAUCCGGAUUUACUGGGUGUAAAGGGAGCGUAGGCGGCGAUGCAAGUCAGAAGUGAAAGCCCCGGGCUCAACUCCUGGACUGCUUUUGAAACUGUGUUGCUAGAUUGCAGGAGAGGUAAGUGGAAGUCCUGGUGUAGCGGUGAAAUGCGUAGAUAUUAGGAGGAACACCAGUGGCGAAGGCGGCUUACUGGACUGUAAAUGACGCUGAUGCUCGAAAGCGUGGGGAGCAAACAGGAUUAGAUACCCCAGUAGUC
RNAcentral lists this ribosomal RNA (440 nucleotides) under uncultured bacterium. RNAcentral's name for it is "partial 16S ribosomal RNA". It matches the Rfam family "Bacterial small subunit ribosomal RNA", at positions 338 to 795 of the family's 1533-position model. The record is from RNAcentral.